The sequence is a ribosomal RNA, 444 nucleotides long. It matches the Rfam family "Bacterial large subunit ribosomal RNA", at positions 1923 to 2551 of the family's 2925-position model.
UUUAACGGCCGCGGUACUUURACCGUGUGAAGGUAGCGUAAUCACUUGUCUUUUAAAUGAAGACCUGUAUGAAUGGCAUAACGAAGGCUUAACUGUCUCAUUUUUCUAGUCAAUGAAAUUGAUCUUCCCGUGCAGAAGCGAGAAUAACAACAUAAGACAAAAAGACCCUGUGGAGCUUAAGACUUCAUAUAGCUUAUUUUAUUAUUGAACUUAAACCCUAUUCUGUCUUCGGUUGGGGCGACCAUGGAGAAAAAUUAUCCUCAAUAAGAAAACACAUGUUUAACAGCUAAGAGCUACACCUCAAAGCUUUAGGACAUCUAAUCUUUCGACCCGGUCAGCCGAUUAAUGAAACAAGUUACCCCAGGGAUAACAGCGCUAUCCCCUUUAAAAGUCCUUAUUAACAAGGGGGUUUACGACCUCGAUGUUGGAUCAGGACAUCCUAAU